AAGACGAACGCUGGCGGCGUGCUUAACACAUGCAAGUCGAGCGGAAAGGCCCUUCGGGGUACUCGAGCGGCGAACGGGUGAGUAACACGUGAGCAACCUGCCCUUAGCUCCGGGAUAGCUCCGGGAAACCGGAAUUAAUACCGGAUACGACCACAGCCGACAUCUGCUGUGGUGGAAAGGAUUCCGGCUAAGGAUGGGCUCGCGGCCUAUCAGCUAGUUGGUGGAGUAACGGCCCACCAAGGCGACGACGGGUA
RNAcentral lists this ribosomal RNA (254 nucleotides) under uncultured bacterium. RNAcentral's name for it is "partial small subunit ribosomal RNA". It matches the Rfam family "Bacterial small subunit ribosomal RNA", at positions 26 to 285 of the family's 1533-position model. The record is from RNAcentral.